Molecule: ribosomal RNA, 465 nt
Filed under: uncultured bacterium
Lineage: Bacteria
Description: partial 16S ribosomal RNA
Rfam family: Bacterial small subunit ribosomal RNA
Source: RNAcentral
GACGAACGCUGGCGGCGUGCUUAACACAUGCAAGUCGAACGGAAAGGCCCUGCUUGCCGGGUACUCGAGUGGCGAACGGGUGAGUAACACGUGGGUGAUCUGCCCUGCACUUCGGGAUAAGCCUGGGAAACUGGGUCUAAUACCGGAUAGGAGCCAUUUUUAGUGUGAUGGUUGGAAAGUUUUUUCGGUGUAGGAUGAGCUCGCGGCCUAUCAGCUUGUUGGUGGGGUAAUGGCCUACCAAGGCGGCGACGGGUAGCCGGCCUGAGAGGGUGGACGGCCACAUUGGGACUGAGAUCCGGCCCAGACCCCUCGGGGGGGAGGCAGGGGGGAAUGUGGAACAAGGGGCGCAAGCCGGUUGCGGGGCGGCCGGGGGGGGGUGGCUGCCCUUGGGGUUUAAACCCCUUUUCCCUAGGGACGAAGCUUUUUGUGACGGUACCUAAAAAAGAAGCCCCGGCUAACUACGUC